Manacus vitellinus (golden-collared manakin) is the source of this 986-nucleotide long non-coding RNA. RefSeq lists it as uncharacterized. NCBI's taxonomy places the organism in Eukaryota, Metazoa, Chordata, Aves, Passeriformes, Pipridae. The transcript has 4 exons. The record is from RefSeq and is a predicted model, not a curated record.
GCACACCCCUCUGACUGCAAUGUUCAAUGCUAGACAAGGGUGUUCAGUGGGGGACAAUGCUGGUUGAAGCAAAUAAUGUGAAACAUGGUUUAGGAAUCACAGAAUUUGGGCCUCAAGUAUAGUAACAUAACGUAAGUUUUUUGCUUUCCAAAGGUUUGGAUGGUGACAUUUCACUGAAAGAUGGGGAAGCAACAUGGGGAGAAAAGGUCUUUAGGGUGACAUAAAGGCAGGAAGACUCCAGGAAGAUGAAUGUGAAUGAAGAAAAAAGAGUAAAGAACAGAAGUAUAUGAAGGACAAGAGAUCAACGGUUCAGAGACCCACACACCUCUUUAGUGGAGGAACACCAAGCCCAUUUGUUCUGAUGUCGCCUCAGAAGAACUGAAGAGACAGGAAUUUGAGCCUUGACCCAGUAAUAAAUCAGAGUAGCCGUCACUGUAGUGGAAAGCACAGUAAUGUCAAAAGCUUCCUGGUGUAUGUGCAAUGGGAAGUCAUUCAGCAGUGAAAAACAACAGAGAGAAGGUGGUAAGGAUGCCCUGACACAGCCGGAAGAAGUCCUGAGGAAUGCACAAACAGAAGUACAGGCUUGAAGCUGUAACCAAAAGAACAUGUCUUUUGUUGCAAUUCCUGCUAUACAGAGGAAAACAGAACCUUCUUGUAAAUGAGAAGUACACUGAAGAAAUAGCUGAAGGCUACAUAAAUGGAGGAUGGAGAAAAACCCUGUAGUUGGUCUUAAAUUGGUGGGAAUCAGCUACCACAAAGAUAAUUCAUACGGAUAACUCCUAUCCUGGUUCAAGACAAAUGGACGAAGUAAAUGUCAGCCAGAUUGACACAAACAGUGUAGCUUUCCAGGAACAAUGGGGACUAGACAGAAUGCAAAAACUCAAAGAAUCUAAACAACAGUACAAAGAUACUAAAGUUAAUGUAAUUGCUAAGAGGAGUAGGAGCCACAGCUGCAAAAGCAUUGCCCUGAAUAUGGCUCCAGUGAA